CUACGGGACGCUGCAGCCGAGAAUCUUCCGCAAUGGGGGAAACCCUGACGGAGCGACGCCGCGUGGAGGAUGAAGGUCUUCGGAUUGUAAACUCCUGUCGCCUGGAAAGAAGAUUCUGGGGUAAAUAAUCCCGGAAUUUGACGGUACCAGGAAAGGAAGCCACGGCUAACUCUGUGCCAGCAGCCGCGGUAAUACAGAGGUGGCGAGCGUUGUUCGGAUUCAUUGGGCGUAAAGGGUCCGUAGGCGGCCCGAAAAGUCGGAUGUGAAAUCCCACGGCUCAACCGUGGAACUGCAUUCGAAACUUUCGGGCUCGAGCGUAGGAGGGGUGAAGGGAAUGCCCGGUGUAAGGGUGAAAUCUGCAGAGAUCGGGAGGAACACCAGUCGCGAAGGCGCUUCACUGGCCUACUGCUGACGCUCAGGGACGAAAGCCAGGGGAGCAAACGGGAUUAGAUACCCCGGUAGUC
Molecule: ribosomal RNA, 464 nt
Filed under: uncultured bacterium
Lineage: Bacteria
Description: partial 16S ribosomal RNA
Rfam family: Bacterial small subunit ribosomal RNA
Source: RNAcentral